AGAGUAGCUCAGUUGGUAGAGCACAACCUUGCCAAGGUUGGGGUCGCGGGUUCGAAUCCCGUCUCCC
This 67-nucleotide transfer RNA is filed under the name uncultured Brumimicrobium sp. It matches the Rfam family "tRNA", at positions 5 to 66 of the family's 71-position model. From Rfam's summary of the family: Transfer RNA (tRNA) molecules are approximately 80 nucleotides in length. Lineage: Bacteria; Pseudomonadati; Bacteroidota; Flavobacteriia; Flavobacteriales; Crocinitomicaceae. The record is from RNAcentral. RNAcentral also lists the same sequence under 2 other names.